UUUCCGUAGGUGAACCUGCGGAAGGAUCAUUAUUGUAUAACCGAGGUGCGAGGCCUGUCGCUGACCCGAAAGGUCGUGCACGCCCGAGUGCCCUCACACACAUCCAUCUCACCCCUAUGUGCACCACCGCGUGGGUCCCCCUUUGGCUUGUUCGGAGGGGGGCUUACGUUUUCACACAAACUUUGUAUGCAGUGUAGAAUGUAUUUUUUGUUUUUGCGAUCACGCAAUCAAUACAACUUUCAACAACGGAUCUCUUGGCUCUC
Molecule: unclassified non-coding RNA, 263 nt
Filed under: plant metagenome
Description: partial contains small subunit ribosomal RNA, internal transcribed spacer 1, and 5.8S ribosomal RNA
Source: RNAcentral